RNAcentral lists this ribosomal RNA (454 nucleotides) under uncultured marine eukaryote. RNAcentral describes it as "bacterial SSU rRNA". It matches the Rfam family "Eukaryotic small subunit ribosomal RNA", at positions 613 to 1067 of the family's 1831-position model. The record is from RNAcentral.
UUGCAGUUAAAAAGCUCGUAGUUGGAUUUCUGCGUGGGCGGGGCAGGCGGGCCUUAUAUGGCUUUCGACCUAGCACUGCCCGCGCAUCCUGGCACGAACAUCGCUUCCAUUAGUUUGGUGGCGGCUGGGAUUGCCUCGUUUACUUUGAGAAAAAUAGAGUGUUCAAAGCAGGCUCAUUGCCUUGAAUAAGUUAGCAUGGAAUAAAGAUAAAGGACUCCGGUUCUAUUUUGUUGGCAUUCGGGACUGAAGUAAUGAUUGAUAGGGACAGUUGGGGGCGUCUGUAUUUCGGAGCGAGAGGUGAAAUUCUUAGACCUCCGGAAGACAAACCGCUGCGAAAGCGUUCGCCAAGGAUGUUCCCUUUGAUCAAGAACGAAAGUUGGGGGAUCGAAGACCAUCAGAUACGGUCGUAGUCUCAACUAUAAACUAUACCAGCUAGGGAUCGGCCGCCGUUGUU